Molecule: ribosomal RNA, 504 nt
Filed under: uncultured bacterium
Lineage: Bacteria
Description: partial 16S ribosomal RNA
Rfam family: Bacterial small subunit ribosomal RNA
Source: RNAcentral
AACGAACGCUGGCGGCGCGUCUUAAGCAUGCAAGUCGGACGGCAAGGGUAGCAAUACCCCUAGAGUGGCGGACUGGUGAGUAACGCGUGGGUGACCUACCCUUGAGAUGGGGAUAGCCAUUAGAAAUAGUGGAUAAUACCGAAUACGCUCACGACCCUGUGGGGAUGUGAGGGAAUCAGGCUACGGCCUGGCUCGAGGAUGGGCCCGCGUCCCAUUAGCUAGUUGGUGAGGUAAAAGCCCACCAAGGCGACGAUGGGUAUCCGGCCUGAGAGGGUGUACGGACACAUUGGGACUGAGAUACGGCCCAAACUCCUACGGGAGGCAGCAGCUAAGAAUAUUCCGCAAUGGACGAAAGUCUGACGGAGCGACGCCGCGUGGAUGAAGAAGGCCGAAAGGUUGUAAAAUCCUUUUGCUGAUGAAGAAUAAGUGUGGUAGGGAAUGACCGCAUGAUGACAUUAGUCGGUGAAUAAGCCCCGGCUAACUACGUGCCAGCCGCCGCCGUAA